GGCAGUAGCCAGCGUGAACCAGCUCCUCCUCGUGCUCUCCGCCUGUCUCUCUCCAAGAUUUCCUCUUUUCUUCCUUCGUUCCCCUCCCCUCUCCCUCUGGCCUCCCUUGUAGGUAGUCAGUAGUUAGCAAGAGGCGCUCGCCGGCUGGAGGCGUCUGCAGCCUAGAUUCUCUCCCCGCUGCUCCAUGCUUGGCCUGGUUCUUGGUGUCCUCUUUGGAGCUGCUCCAUGGUUUGCUGGUGGAUUUGUUUCUCUUCCUUUUUCUUAACAAAUCCCUCUGUCUUUUCUGUGCUUGAUCUAUACUCACCGGAGCUCACCGAGCAACCAUGGCGCCACCUCGAACUCUGGAUCCGGCGCCCCCAAACCUCAACGGCCUUCCCCGCGCGCCUCCCUGACCCUCCUGCAUCUGGAUCCGUCCGGUGGCAGCCGGAUUGUCGCCGUUCUAUGGAGUCAAACCCGCGCCGCCGCGUCCCUCACUCGUCUCGCGCAAGAGGACGACGAGUAGACCCCUUGUCACGGGAUCUCGCGGGCUCCUCAGCCUCGGCUGGAUCCAACACGCGCUGAUUAUGCCGCUGCCCCGCCUCCCGCGCGUCCUCCUCCUCCCAGCCGUUGCCCACGGCGGCGAGGAGCGUGUUGAGCAGCCCGAUCGUGGUCGGUGGCGUGCGCUCCAGCCGGCCGACGCGGGCCUGGAGCGCUGCGGCCUGGGCCUCGGUGUCGGCGAACCGCGUGCGGCGAAGAGGAGGCAGGCCGUGGUGUGGGGAGGAGGGCGCGGCGGAGUGGUGGUAGGCCGGCGAAGAGGAGGCAGGCCGUGGUGUGGGGAGGAGGGCGCGGCGGAGAGGAGGUAGGCCGGCGCGUGGGGAUGGCGUGGCGGAGGAUGCGGACCGACGGCGGGGAGGCGGAGGAUCCAGAUCGGGAGGCGCGGUCGCUCGACUCUGGGUUGGUUUUUGUUGGCAAACCGCACACGCGUCCACGGGUGGAUUAGAAAUAUGAAACGUUUUUUUUUUCACUUAUUUACUGGACUGCGGGUUAAUUACUUAAUAUCAUAGGGGUUUUUCUGUAAAAAUGCCGACGACGUACGACAGAGACCCAAUUUGCUUUAUUAUUACUAGCAAAAAUGCCCGUGCGUUGCAACGGGUAAUGAAACUAUCAUCAUAGAAUCUCA
This is a long non-coding RNA of Triticum aestivum (bread wheat), 1159 nucleotides long. RefSeq lists it as uncharacterized. The record is from RefSeq and is a predicted model, not a curated record. Lineage: Eukaryota; Viridiplantae; Streptophyta; Magnoliopsida; Poales; Poaceae. The transcript is spliced from 2 exons.